This 518-nucleotide ribosomal RNA is filed under the name uncultured bacterium. RNAcentral describes it as "bacterial SSU rRNA". It matches the Rfam family "Bacterial small subunit ribosomal RNA", at positions 8 to 518 of the family's 1533-position model. The record is from RNAcentral.
AGAGUUUGAUUUGGCUCAGGAUGAACGCUAGCUACAGGCUUAACACAUGCAAGUCGAGGGGCAGCAUUGGAGUAGCAAUACUCAGAUGGCGACCGGCGCACGGGUGAGUAACACGUAUCCAACCUGCCGCUUACUCGGGGAUAGCCUUUCGAAAGAAAGAUUAAUACCCGAUGGUAUAAAGAGUUCGCAUGUUCUCUUUAUUAAAGAAUUUCGGUAAGCGAUGGGGAUGCGUUCCAUUAGAUAGUUGGCGGGGCAACGGCCCACCAAGUCUACGAUGGAUAGGGGUUCUGAGAGGAAGGUCCCCCACAUUGGAACUGAGACACGGUCCAAACUCCUACGGGAGGCAGCAGUGAGGAAUAUUGGUCAAUGGACGAGAGUCUGAACCAGCCAAAAGUAGCGUGAAGGAUGACUGCCCUAUGGGUUGUAAACUUCUUUUAUAAGGGAAUAAAGUGAGGGACGUGUCCCUUUUUGUAUGUACCUUAUGAAUAAGGAUCGGCUAACUCCGUGCCAGCCGCCGC